This 233-nucleotide unclassified non-coding RNA is filed under the name plant metagenome. RNAcentral describes it as "partial contains small subunit ribosomal RNA and internal transcribed spacer 1". The stretch from base 1 to 46 matches the Rfam family "Eukaryotic small subunit ribosomal RNA", at positions 1786 to 1831 of the family's 1831-position model. The record is from RNAcentral.
AAGUCGUAACAAGGUUUCCGUAGGUGAACCUGCGGAAGGAUCAUUAACGAGUUUUGAAAGGAGUUGUAGCUGGCCAUCCGAGGCAUGUGCACGCUCUGCUCAUCCACUCUACCCCUGUGCACUUACUGUAGGUUGGCGUGGGCUCCUUAACGGGAGCAUUCUGCCGGCCUAUGUAUACUACAAACACUUUAAAGUAUCAGAAUGUAAACGCGUCUAACGCAUCUAUAAUACAA